AUUGAACGCUGGCGGCAGGCCUAACACAUGCAAGUCGAGCGGCAGCGGAAAGUAGCUUGCUACUUUGCCGGCGAGCGGCGGACGGGUGAGUAAUGUCUGGGAAACUGCCUGAUGGAGGGGGAUAACCACUGGAAACGGUAGCUAAUACCGCAUAACGUCGCAAGACCAAAGAGGGGGACCUUCGGGCCUCUUGCCAUCAGAUGUGCCCAGAUGGGAUUAGCUAGUAGGUGGGGUAACGGCUCACCUAGGCGACGAUCCCUAGCUGGUCUGAGAGGAUGACCAGCCACACUGGAACUGAGACACGGUCCAGACUCCUACGGGAGGCAGCAGUGGGGAAUAUUGCACAAUGGGCGCAAGCCUGAUGCAGCCAUGCCGCGUGUAUGAAGAAGGCCUUCGGGUUGUAAAGUACUUUCAGCGGGGAGGAAGGUGCUGAGGUUAAUAACCUCAGCAAUUGACGUUACCCGCAGAAGAAGCACCGGCUAACUCCGUGCCAGCCGCCGCUGUAA
RNAcentral lists this ribosomal RNA (506 nucleotides) under uncultured bacterium. RNAcentral's name for it is "partial 16S ribosomal RNA". It matches the Rfam family "Bacterial small subunit ribosomal RNA", at positions 30 to 523 of the family's 1533-position model. The record is from RNAcentral.